Molecule: ribosomal RNA, 497 nt
Filed under: uncultured bacterium
Lineage: Bacteria
Description: partial 16S ribosomal RNA
Rfam family: Bacterial small subunit ribosomal RNA
Source: RNAcentral
GAUGAACGCUGGCGGCGUGCCUAAUACAUGCAAGUCGAGCGAACGGACGAGAAGCUUGCUUUUCUGAUGUUAGCGGCGGAAGGGUGAGUAACACGUGGAUAACCUACCUAUAAGACUGGGAUACCUUCGGGAAACCGGAGCUAAUACCGGAUAAUAUUUUGAACCGCAUGGUUCAAAAGUGAAAGACGGUAUUGCUGUCACUUAUAGAUUGAUCCGCGCUGCAUUAGCUAGUUGGUAAGGUAACGGCUUACCAAGGCAACGAUGCAUAGCCGACCUGAGAGGGUGAGCGGCCACACUGGAACUGAGACAGGGUACAGACUCCUACGGGAGGCAGCAGUAGGGAAUCUUCCGCAAUGGGCGAGAGCCUGACGGAGCAACGCCGCGUGAGUGAUGAAGGUCUUCGGAUCGUAAAACUCUGUUAUUAGGGAAGAACAUAUGUGUAAGUAACUGUGCACAUCUUGACGGUACCUAAUCAGAAAGCCACGGCUAACUACGUG